RNAcentral lists this ribosomal RNA (314 nucleotides) under uncultured bacterium. RNAcentral describes it as "bacterial SSU rRNA". It matches the Rfam family "Bacterial small subunit ribosomal RNA", at positions 30 to 346 of the family's 1533-position model. The record is from RNAcentral.
AUUGAACGCUGGCGGCAGGCCUAACACAUGCAAGUCGAGCGCGAAAGUCUUCGGAUGAGUAAAGCGGCGAACGGGUGAGUAAUGCAUGGGAAUCUGCCUGGUAGUGGGGGACGACGUCUCGAAAGGGACGCUAAUACCGCAUACGCCCUACGGGGAAAGGGGGAGGUCUUCGGUACCGUCUCGCUAUCAGAUGAGCCCACUGUCAGAUUAGCUAGUUGGUAGGGUAAAGGACCUACCAAGGCGACGAUCUGUAACUGGUCUGAGAGGAUGAUCAGUCACACUGGAACUGAGACACGGUCCAGACUCCUACGGGA